Long non-coding RNA from Eleginops maclovinus (Patagonian blennie), 3153 nucleotides. RefSeq lists it as uncharacterized. The record is from RefSeq and is a predicted model, not a curated record. The transcript is spliced from 3 exons. NCBI's taxonomy places the organism in Eukaryota, Metazoa, Chordata, Actinopteri, Perciformes, Eleginopidae.
UUAUCUUUGUCUCCCGGGACAUCUCUAGGACAGGACACCGGGCAGCAGCCGGGACGUAUCGAUCUCUUAUCAGAGAGGAAGUAGAGACCUGCCACGUAGGCAUGGAGACCCUGGAUCUCGAUGACCUGCUGACCCAGGGUGUGGCGACCAGGAGGGAGCCCCAUCGCUGUGAUUGCAUCCGUCACCAGCACCAGACCUGAGGGCAGCAUGGCGUUGAAGAGGUGGGUGAUGAAGGAGGCUCCGUGUUGAACAGCCUCCUCCGCCUGAGACAGGUUGGCCACAGAGUGACCUGCAGGAGCAGAAGCAGCACAUCUAUAAGAGCCAGAGUUGCUAAAUGCAGCCAACAAAACUGCACAAAGUUUGUUUAUUUGCUUAACAUUUGUGCAUCCCUAAGGACACGUAUUUUAAUAUUCAAUUUCGCUGUGUGACUUUUGUUAAGUGUACCCUCAGUUUCUUUAAAAUGUAUAUAAUAAAAUGUGGAUCAAACAAUACAGUCAAAUAUGUCCCGAUUGAAGCCCAUUAAAAAAAAAAAUGUUUUAAUUAAAUCCUUCGUUUUAUUAUAUCAGACUUUACAUCUAGAGCCCUGCCUUCACUUGUAUUCCUUUCUAUAUUUAACCAGACUGAGAUAUGUUCUUAUGAUUGACCUUUUGGAAACAAAACAUAAACAAAUAUUUAGGAAGUUAUAAGAACCUCGGAACUGAGUUAGUAAAUAGAUUGAAAUCCAUGAAAGCCUUUUUUUGGAUCUGACAAUGCACAAAAAUAAUGCAUAACAAAUAAUGUCGUUCAUCAGAGUUUAUUUUAGGCGUAAAACACAUUCUCAAAGCAGUACUGUAUCCUUACGUUUUUUGUAUGCGAGUAAAGGCUGCUCACCUAGCGACACCGUGAUUCCCUUCUGGCAGAGAUCCCUGAUCACCGAUUGGCUGCCAUCCAACUCUGGAGCCAGUGUCACCAUGGCAACGCUGUCCAGGCCACCGUAGGUUUCCAUCAGGUACCCGAGCCCGCUGCUCUUGAAGGUCCGGAGAAACUUCUCCGGGUGAGCUCCUUUCUUCUCCACGCUGAUGAACGGGCCCUCCAGGUGAAAUCCUGCAGACAGGAUAUAUACAAUUUAUAUUUCUAUAAAGAUAAAUACAGAUAAUACUUUAAAGGACAAGUUUGCCAAUGUUGGGGUGUACUAGAGCGUGAUGUAUCUGAAAACUGUCCUACUGACACAAAAACUCUCUUGAAAAAAUGUCGAACAGCAGCAGAGACUCAAAGUUGUUACAUUUCCAGAAAGAAAAAGUUUGGAGAAGAAGUAACACAAAGCAAAAUACUAAUCAUAACAUUUGGAAAAAUAAAGUUGUACUAUUUUGGGAAAAGAAGUGGUUUUAUUUCAACUCAAUCCAACAAACACCGUCUUGCUGACACAAAUUCAAGCAAGGUGGAAAAGGGCAAUCCUAAUUUUAAUUUUAAAAAGUUGGAUACAUUUCAGAACUUUUUUAUUUUGGUAUUUACUCUUAAUGUUUGGAGAAAUUAAAUUAAUGAAUAUAAAACAAAUAUAUUACCAGAAAAAACACACAUUAGUGGCAAUUCAAGCUUUAAAAUAUACAGUGGUAUGCAAAAGUUUGGGCACCCCUCUGAGAUUUCAUGACAAUUUGCUUUUCCUUUAUAAUAGAAGAUCACAGCAACAACAUUUGUUUUCCUACAAAGAUGUAGACGUUUUAGUGUUUUCCAGACCAAAAUUCUUAGGGUAGCAUUACAUAGUUUUAUUAUAAUAAAAUAAAAUGCAAAAAAUGGGAUGUGCAAAAGUUUGGGCACCCUUAUAAAUAGCAUUCAUUUCAACACCUGUACGGAUUUAUAGCUGACAGGUUGCUGCACAAAAUUGCUUUGAUUAGCUCAUUAGACCUUCAAUUACAAAGACAGGUGGAACCAAUCAUGAAAAAGGCUAUUUAACAUAGGUAAUAGCUGGCUGUGCCUGGCCUAGGUUCUUUCUUAGGGAGUGGCAAGAUGGGGACCUCAAAACAACUCUCCACUGACCUGAAAGCUAAGAUAAUCCAACAUUAUAAAUUAGGAGAAGGGUACAAAAAAUUAUCUGACAGGUUUAAACUGUCUGUCUCCACAGUCAGAAACGUAGUUGUGAAAUGGAAGGCCACAGGAACAGUCCGUGUGAAGGAAAGAUGUGGUAGGCCGACAAAAAUAGGGGAAAGGCACAGGCGAAGGAUGGUGAAAAUGGUCACAGAGAAGCCACAGACCACCUCCAGAGAACUACAACAACAUCUGGCUGCUGAUGGUGUAGUUGUUCACCGUUCCACAAUCCAGCGUACUUUGCACCAGGAAGAGCUCAUUGGAAGGGUGAUGUGCAAAAAGCCUUUCCUGAGUGUUAAUCACAAGAAGAGUCGCAUGAGGUAUGCAAAAGCACAUCUGGACAAGCCAGAAGCAUUUUGGAACAAAAUACUGUGGUCAGAUGAGACCAAGAUUGAGUUAUUUGGUCAUAACAUGAACAGGUAUGCAUGGCGAAAAAAACACACUGCAUUCAAUGAAAAGAACUUGUUGCCCACUGUAAAAUUUGGUGGAGGAUCUAUCAUGUUAUGGGGCUGUGUGGCUUGCACAGGUACUGGAAAACUUGUUAAAGUUGAGGGCCACAUGAAUUCCUUACAGUACCAGGAGAUUAUUGACAAGAAUGUUCUAGAGUCAGUCACAAAGUUGAAGCUACGCCGGGGUUGGAUUUUUCAGCAGGACAAUGAUCCUAAACACCGAUCAAAAUCCACCAAGGAAUUCAUGCAGAAGCACAGGUACAAUGUUCUGGAAUGGCCAUCCCAGUCCCCAGACCUUAACAUCAUUGAAAAUGUAUGGAUUUAUUUGAAGAAGGCUGUCCAUGCACGGAGGCCAAGAAACCUGACUGAACUGGAGACGUUUUGUGUGGAAGAAUGGGCCAAAAUACCACCUGCCAGGCUUAAGGGACUUGUCUGUGGCUACAGGAGGCGUCUACAGGCCGUUAUUGCAGCAAAAGGAGGCAAUACUAAAUAUUAAUGGAAUUAUUUCUUAGGGGUGCCCAAAUUUAUGCACAUGCCUAUUUUUGUUUGAAUGCACAUAAACAUGUUUCUGUUUGACCAAUAAAAGUUAUUUCACUACUGAGAUGUUUCUGUUACCAUAAGGUAUAACAUAUGUUAAAAUGAA